Long non-coding RNA from Hippocampus zosterae (dwarf seahorse), 375 nucleotides. RefSeq lists it as uncharacterized. The transcript is spliced from 2 exons. The record is from RefSeq and is a predicted model, not a curated record. Lineage: Eukaryota; Metazoa; Chordata; Actinopteri; Syngnathiformes; Syngnathidae.
UGUUGAUGGGACAUCCUUGCGUGCACUUAGCACGGAUGGAGGGGGCGUACUGCGAGAGCUGAGCAGUGACCACACUGCGGCACAGCUGCAGCACCUGCUCGUCCGACAGCCCGGGACCCUGAAGGCAACAUUUGGUCACGACUCACGAUGGGACCUUGAAUUCCUUUGGAUCCGGCUAGGCCUCUGGCGCCAGGGUCUCCGAGAGGGCCGCGGGUACCUCGGCUUCCCGGGAUACCGGGAGGACCCGCGGGGCCGGGAUUGCCGGCCCGACCGACCGCACCUUUGGGACCACGCUGGGCAGACGAAGGAGACAAAAGACAAUUGUGCAGUGACAAAAAUAAAUGAAUAAACGAUACAUAUAUUUUCCGCCAAAAA